AGUCAGUUCAGGCUGGGCCAGGGCAGUCCCCAGCCAGAUCCCUCACAGGGCAGGCAGCAAGCCCACGGCUUGCACCGCAUCCUUCUCCAAAAGAUAUGGUGAGAAUUGGUGUGCACACGCUUUACAGGGGGUUCUGUCCUUUUUGUGCUGGUACAGAGAGGUAUGUGAGUUGUAUUAACACAGAAAUAUUUUGAAUGCUGUAUAGAAUGCCUGAACAUCAUGUGGAAAAUCCAUGGAGAGGAAGGCAGAUGUUAUUAAUGAUGAAGGAACUAUGUAGCUUGCAAGCAGUCAUAUAUCCACUCAAAACAUUUUUUCCUAGUGUUUAUUAGGAAGUGCAAAGCAGUGUUUGCCCUCAUAGUCAUCAGGUGAUAAAAAACCCUGUGUGGAAGCACUCAGGCACUUUACAGCUCUGGCUGUAGGCUGCUCACCAGAAGCUGGGUACAGCUGGCAAAGGCUGAGUGUUGUAUGAACUGCAGGUGAAGCAAAGCUUCAAGCAUAUCAAGGUGGAUGGCUCGUGUAGUUGUUGGCCACCAGUUAACAAAAUACUUAAGUUCAAAGCAACAGGAGUGGCUAAAAUCAUCAUCAAGAGAGUAGUUGUUGUUUUCAGGCAAUAAUUAAUUCCUUCAUGAGUGUCUGAUGCCUUUUAAAAUACUGUUUGCUUUUUGUUUGUUUGUUUGUUUGUGGGGGGGACAAAAAGAAACAAAUGAACAACAACAAAAACAGGAAUUGACACUCAUGAAAUGCUCAGUCUUCAUUUCCAUUGUGGGAUGAAUUUUCAAAUGAGCAUCUUCUCCUUGACUCUCACACUUAGAAUCAUUGAAUCGUUUAAGCUGGAAAAGACCUUCAAGAUCAAGUGCAAACAUCAGACUUCCAGUUACUAAUUUGCCAAAAACAUUGGAAUUCAGCUACUGCUUGGGAGAAGAGACUGACCACCACCUUGCUAUAGCCUCCUUUAAGGCCAUUGAUUGGGACGGUCCACCCAGCACGUGCUACAUGUGCUUUGUGGUCCUCUUACCAGAGAACAACUUGCAGCAGGAUGCAGGAGGGAAGGAUUGACCUGGAAAUGCCAUCCCCCUGCUUGGCUGAUGUCUUUGUGAGUCCCUCAAGUCUCUUUCCCUUCACCUGUUCUUCAGGACUCUAGAUUUACUAAACAUUUGCUGAAUGCAAGAUUAAUAUCUGUUCUGUCCCUUAAAAGAGCAAAAGAUCUGCUUCAUGGUUUACCAUGCGCACACCCAGGUAACUCUCCUGGAAGCAAAAAAAAAUGUAAACUGUCUCCCUGAGCAGGAUGAGUGGAUAUAGGAUGUCUACAGCCAGAAUAAAAAUGUCUCCAGAGCUCACAGUUUCAAAGAAAGCCUGAAGGUGUCUAUGACAAUUAAGAAAUAGUAUAACAUAGGCAUUAAUCUGAGUUAACAGUCCUUAAAAUUGCGAAGUAAUUACUUCACAACUGUGCCUUUUGUGUUUGUUUGUUUGAUUUGUUUUCUUAGCAUGCAAUAAGCAAUAUGCAAACUUGCUAACAUCAUUUGAAGGAGACUGUAGAUCUUGAAAUUUGUAGCGAAAAAAAUUAUUAAUAAACAUUAAUCAUCACUACAAGAGAUGACACAUUUUACUUGUUCACAUAGAAUAUCAUGUGUAUGUGUCUAUAGAAGUGUUGCAAUUCUUUAUAUGCUUUCUGCCUUUGAAAUGACAUUAAAUGAUAUGGUAGCAUACAGAUGAUAAGUUAUCCAAAAUAAAGUAAAUGCAUACCAACAUGCUCAAAACUCUGAGAAAAAAAAAAAAAAAAAAAAAAAAAAAAA
Molecule: long non-coding RNA, 1793 nt
Organism: Anas platyrhynchos (mallard)
Lineage: Eukaryota; Metazoa; Chordata; Aves; Anseriformes; Anatidae
Source: RefSeq, a predicted model, not a curated record